Molecule: transfer RNA, 74 nt
Filed under: Methanomicrobiales archaeon
Lineage: Archaea; Methanobacteriati; Methanobacteriota; Methanomicrobia; Methanomicrobiales
Description: tRNA-Met
Rfam family: tRNA
About the family: Transfer RNA (tRNA) molecules are approximately 80 nucleotides in length. Their secondary structure includes four short double-helical elements and three loops (D, anti-codon, and T loops). Further hydrogen bonds mediate the characteristic L-shaped molecular structure. tRNAs have two regions of fundamental functional importance: the anti-codon, which is responsible for specific mRNA codon recognition, and the 3' end, to which the tRNAs corresponding amino acid is attached (by aminoacyl-tRNA synthetases). tRNAs cope with the degeneracy of the genetic code in two manners: having more than one tRNA (with a specific anti-codon) for a particular amino acid; and 'wobble' base-pairing, i.e. permitting non-standard base-pairing at the 3rd anti-codon position.
Source: RNAcentral
GCUGCGGUGGCCUAGUUGGUUAGGGCGCCAGACUCAUAAUCUGGAGGUCGCGGGUUCGGAUCCCGCCCGCAGCA